Molecule: ribosomal RNA, 174 nt
Filed under: uncultured bacterium
Lineage: Bacteria
Description: partial 16S ribosomal RNA
Rfam family: Bacterial small subunit ribosomal RNA
Source: RNAcentral
CGGCGAUUAUAGGUCAUGGGCGGAGCCUGACCAGCCAUGCCGCGUGCAGGAUGACUGCCCUAUGGGUUGUAAACUGCUUUUGUCCGGGAAUAAACCUCCUUACGAGUAGGGAGCUGAAUGUACCGGAAGAAUAAGGAUCGGCUAACUCCGUGCCAGCAGCCGCGGUAAUAAAUA